GAAUCAGUUGCUCAACUACCGUUCUGCCAUUUCAAAUCAUGGAUCAAAAAUAGAAGGCCUGGAAAGAGAACUGACUGAUUUGAAUCAAGAAUUUGAGACUUUGCAAGAAAAGGCUCAAGUAAAUUCCAGAAAAGCACAAACAUUAAACAACAAUGUUAAUCGGGCAACACAAAGUGCAGAAGAACUGGAUGUGAAGAUUAAAAAUGUCAUACGGAAUGUGCACAUUCUUUUAAAGCAGAUCUCUGGGACAGAUGGAGAGGGAAACAACGUGCCUUCAGGUGACUUUUCCAGAGAGUGGGCUGAAGCCCAGCGCAUGAUGAGGGAACUGCGGAACAGGAACUUUGGAAAGCACCUCAGAGAAGCAGAAGCUGAUAAAAGGGAGUCGCAGCUCUGUAAGAAUGCUCCCAAAUUCUUGCAUCCAGUCCAUUCUAAUUGAUUUGAAACACAACGUGCAGAGUGCAAUGUAGAGUUCCCCGUUAUAGGUGGAAGGCCUCAUGGUUUCAGCGAAUAUUACUGUUAGAGCAUCACGUGGUGAAAAUUGGUAGCCCCCAGGAGUCCCAGGUUACCAACGGGCUGUAGAAUAUAACAGCUUACCAUCAUGCAAAGAAAAAAAAAGUUCUUCUAAAAGUUAGAUA
Molecule: small RNA, 635 nt
Filed under: Pan troglodytes (chimpanzee)
Lineage: Eukaryota; Metazoa; Chordata; Mammalia; Primates; Hominidae
Description: retained intron
Source: RNAcentral